AUAACUUGAGAGUUUGAUCCUGGCUCAGGACGAACGCUGGCGGCAUGCCUAACACAUGCAAGUCGAACGAGA
RNAcentral lists this ribosomal RNA (72 nucleotides) under Deltaproteobacteria bacterium. RNAcentral describes it as "partial 16S ribosomal RNA". It matches the Rfam family "Bacterial small subunit ribosomal RNA", at positions 1 to 71 of the family's 1533-position model. Lineage: Bacteria; Pseudomonadati; Myxococcota; Myxococcia. The record is from RNAcentral.